RNAcentral lists this transfer RNA (76 nucleotides) under Hyphomicrobiales bacterium. RNAcentral's name for it is "Rhizobiales bacterium tRNA-Thr". It matches the Rfam family "tRNA". From Rfam's summary of the family: Transfer RNA (tRNA) molecules are approximately 80 nucleotides in length. The record is from RNAcentral. Lineage: Bacteria; Pseudomonadati; Pseudomonadota; Alphaproteobacteria; Hyphomicrobiales.
GCCGAUAUAGCUCAGUUGGUAGAGCAGCGUACUUGUAAUACGAAGGUCCCGAGUUCGAAUCUUGGUAUCGGCACCA